GCGGCGUGCUUAACACAUGCAAGUCGAGCGGAGAUUGCAUUUAUGUAAUCUUAGCGGCGGACGGGUGAGUAACGCGUAGGCAACCUGCCUUGCACAGAGGGAUAACACCGGGAAACUGGUGCUAAUACCACAUGAUAUCAUAACAAGGCAUCUUGAAAUGAUCAAAGGAUAAAUCCGGUGCAAGAUGGGCCUGCGUCCGAUUAGUUAGUUGGUGAGGUAACGGCUCACCAAGGCGACGAUCGGUAGCCGAACUGAGAGGUUGAUCGGCCACAUUGGGACUGAGACACGGCCCAGACUCCUACGGGAGGCAGCAGUGGGGAAUAUUGCGCAAUGGGGGGAACCCUGACGCAGCAACGCCGCGUGAAGGAAGAAGGCCUUCGGGUUGUAAACUUUUUUGAUUGGGGAAGAAAAAAAUGACGGUACCCAAGGAACAAGCCACGGCUAACUACGUGCCAGCAGCCGCGGUAAUACGUAGGUGGCGAGCGUUGUCCGGAAUUACUGGGUGUAAAGGGCGUGUAGGCGGGAUUGUAAGUCAGAUGUGAAAUUCCAGGGCUUAACUCUGGAGGUGCAUCUGAAACUAUAAUUCUUGAGUGCUGGAGAGGAAAGCGGAAUUCCUAGUGUAGCGGUGAAAUGCGUAGAUAUUAGGAAGAACACCAGUGGCGAAGGCGGCUUUCUGGACAGUAACUGACGCUGAGGCGCGAAAGCGUGGGGAGCAAACAGGGAUUUAGAUACCCUGGUAGUCCACGCUGUAAACGAUGGAUACUAAGGUGUAGGAAGGUAAUCGACCCCUUCUUUCCCCGAAUUCACACCAUUAGUAUCCCACCUUGGGAAUACCGCCGCCAGGCUGAAACUCCAAGGUAUUGACCGGGGCCCGCACCAACAAUUGAAUAACUGGUUUAAUUCCAAGCCACCCCGAGGACCUUACCAGGGCUUGACUUCCCUCGGAUUACAUAGAGAUAUGUUAAUCCUUCCGAACGAAGACACAAGUUGUGCAUUGUUGUCCUCAGCUUCUCUCCUGAGAUCUUUGGUUAAAUCCCGCCACGAGCGCCACCCCUUUUGUUAAUUGCCAUCAAUAAGUUGGGCACUUUUACGAGACUGCCGGUGACAAAUCCGGACGAAGGUGGGGACGACGUCAAAUCAUCAUGCCCCUUAUGUCCUGGGCUACACACGUACUACAAUGGUCACUACAAAGGGAAGCAAUACCGCAAGGAGGAGCAAAUCCCCAAAGGUGACCUCAGUUCGGAUUGUGGCCUGAAACCCGCCCACAUGAAGUCGGA
RNAcentral lists this ribosomal RNA (1277 nucleotides) under uncultured organism. RNAcentral's name for it is "partial 16S ribosomal RNA". It matches the Rfam family "Bacterial small subunit ribosomal RNA", at positions 39 to 1330 of the family's 1533-position model. The record is from RNAcentral.